AGCGUUGUGAGGCGUUGAGCUAACUUGUACUAAUGACCCGUGAGGCUUAACCAUACAACCCAGAUGGGUUUU
Molecule: ribosomal RNA, 72 nt
Filed under: Shewanella sp. SG41-3
Lineage: Bacteria; Pseudomonadati; Pseudomonadota; Gammaproteobacteria; Alteromonadales; Shewanellaceae
Description: partial 23S ribosomal RNA
Source: RNAcentral